UUAUAUUCUGUAGCAAGGUUAACCGUAUAGGGGAGCCGGAGGGAAACCGAGUCUUAACCGGGCGUUAAGUUGCAGGGUAUAGACCCGAAACCCGGUGAUCUAGCCAUGGGCAGGUUGAAGGUUGGGUAACACUAACUGGAGGACCGAACCGACUAAUGUUGAAAAAUUAGCGGAUGACCUGUGGCUGGGGGUGAAAGGCCAAUCAAACCGGGAGAUAGCUGGUUCUCCCCGAAAGCUAUUUAGGUAGCGCCUCGUGAAUUCAUCUCCGGGGGUAGAGCACUGUUUCGGCUAGGGGGCCAUCCCGGCUUACCAACCCGAUGCAAACUGCGAAUACCGGAGAAUGUUAUCACGGGAGACACACGGCGGGUGCUAACGUCCGUCGUGAAGAGGGAAACAACCCAGACCGCCAGCUAAGGUCCCAAAGUCAUGGUUAAGUGGGAAACGAUGUGGGAAGGCCCAGACAGCCAGGAUGUUGGCUUAGAAGCAGCCAUCAUUUAAAGAAAGCGUAAUAGCUCACUGGUCGAGUCGGCCUGCGCGGAAGAUGUAACGGGGCUAAACCAU
Molecule: ribosomal RNA, 561 nt
Filed under: Salmonella enterica
Lineage: Bacteria; Pseudomonadati; Pseudomonadota; Gammaproteobacteria; Enterobacterales; Enterobacteriaceae
Description: partial 23S ribosomal RNA
Rfam family: Bacterial large subunit ribosomal RNA
Source: RNAcentral